AUACGUAGGUGGCAAGCGUUGUCCGGAAUUAUUGGGCGUAAAGCGCAUGUAGGCGGUUUGGUAAGUCGGUCGUGAAAAUGCGGUGCUUAACGCCGUAUGGCGAUUGAAACUGCUGAACUUGAGUGCAGGAGAGGAAAGGGGGACUCCCAGUGUAGCGGUGAAAUGCGUAGAUAUUGGGAAGAACACCGGUGGCGAAGGCGCCUUUCUGGACUGUGUCUGACGCUCAGAUGCGAAAGCCAGGGUAGCGAACGGGAUUAGAUACCCCGGUAGUCCUGGCCGUAAACGAUGGGUACUAGGUGUGGGAGGUAUCGACUCCUUCCGUGCCGGAGUUAACGCAAUAAGUACCCCGCCUGGGGAGUACGGCCGCAAGGCUUAAACUUAAAGGAAUUGACGGGG
Molecule: ribosomal RNA, 396 nt
Filed under: uncultured bacterium
Lineage: Bacteria
Description: partial 16S ribosomal RNA
Rfam family: Bacterial small subunit ribosomal RNA
Source: RNAcentral